RNAcentral lists this transfer RNA (64 nucleotides) under Neoporus dimidiatus. RNAcentral describes it as "tRNA-Leu". The record is from RNAcentral. Lineage: Eukaryota; Metazoa; Arthropoda; Insecta; Coleoptera; Dytiscidae.
UAUGGCAGAAUAGUGCAAUGAAUUUAAGCUUCAUAUAUAAAGAAUCAUCUUUUAUUAGAAUAAU